AGGUAGCAUAAUCAUUUGUUAUCUAAAUGAUAACUAGUAUGAAUGGUCUGACGAGAAAAUAACUUUCUAAAAAGAAGAGAUAAAAAUUUAUUUUAAAGUAAAAAAGCUUUAUAGCCUUAGAAAGACGAGAAGACCCUAGAACCUGUUCUAUUCCUAUAGUUUGUUGGGGUGACAUUAUUCAAAACAAAUAACUAUUAAAACUUAUUAAUUGACUCUAUCUAUCUUUAUUAAAAAAAAAAAAGGUACUCUAGGGAUAACAGCAUAAUCUUCUUCUAGAGCCCUAAUCGACAAGAAAGAUUUUGACCUCGAUGUUGAAUUGAUAUUUCUUUCUAAAGCAGAA
This 340-nucleotide ribosomal RNA is filed under the name Armadillo officinalis (oak-woodland pillbug). RNAcentral describes it as "partial large subunit ribosomal RNA". It matches the Rfam family "Bacterial large subunit ribosomal RNA", at positions 1954 to 2560 of the family's 2925-position model. The record is from RNAcentral. Lineage: Eukaryota; Metazoa; Arthropoda; Malacostraca; Isopoda; Armadillidae.